RNAcentral lists this transfer RNA (71 nucleotides) under Rasbora pauciperforata (red-stripped rasbora). RNAcentral describes it as "tRNA-Val". It matches the Rfam family "tRNA". Rfam says of the family: Transfer RNA (tRNA) molecules are approximately 80 nucleotides in length. Their secondary structure includes four short double-helical elements and three loops (D, anti-codon, and T loops). Further hydrogen bonds mediate the characteristic L-shaped molecular structure. tRNAs have two regions of fundamental functional importance: the anti-codon, which is responsible for specific mRNA codon recognition, and the 3' end, to which the tRNAs corresponding amino acid is attached (by aminoacyl-tRNA synthetases). tRNAs cope with the degeneracy of the genetic code in two manners: having more than one tRNA (with a specific anti-codon) for a particular amino acid; and 'wobble' base-pairing, i.e. permitting non-standard base-pairing at the 3rd anti-codon position. The record is from RNAcentral. Lineage: Eukaryota; Metazoa; Chordata; Actinopteri; Cypriniformes; Danionidae.
CAGAGUGUAGCCAAAUAGUUAGGCGUCUCACUUACACCGCGAAGAAAUCCGUGCAAAUCGGAUCACUCUGA